GGCUGGUCCAGGUGCAGUGGUGUUUACAACCACUUGAAUAUACCCAGUUGCAGAUUUCUUUGUUCCUUCUCCACUCCCACUGCUUCACUUGACUAGCUUUAA
Molecule: Y RNA, 102 nt
Filed under: Prolemur simus (greater bamboo lemur)
Lineage: Eukaryota; Metazoa; Chordata; Mammalia; Primates; Lemuridae
Description: Y RNA (ENSPSMG00000018150.1)
Rfam family: Y RNA
About the family: Y RNAs are components of the Ro ribonucleoprotein particle (Ro RNP), in association with Ro60 and La proteins. The Y RNAs and Ro60 and La proteins are well conserved, but the function of the Ro RNP is not known. In humans the RNA component can be one of four small RNAs -- hY1, hY3, hY4 and hY5.
Source: Rfam by way of RNAcentral